Molecule: unclassified non-coding RNA, 311 nt
Filed under: uncultured fungus
Lineage: Eukaryota; Fungi
Description: partial contains 5.8S ribosomal RNA and internal transcribed spacer 2
Rfam family: 5.8S ribosomal RNA (bases 1-133)
Source: RNAcentral
UGGUUCUGGCAUCGAUGAAGAACGCAGCGAAAUGCGAUAAGUAAUGCGAAUUGCAGAAUUCAGUGAGUCAUCGAAUCUUUGAACGCACAUUGCGCCCGCCAGCAUCCUGGCGGGCAUGCCUGUUCGAGCGUCAUUGCAACCCUCAGGCCCUGCCUGGCGUUGGGGCCCUGCACGUGCAGCCCCCGAAACACAGCGGCGGUCCCGUCUCGGCACCGAGCGUAGUACUCUCUCGCUACGGCGUCCGUGCGGCGACCUGCCGGAAAACCCCGUAUCACGUGGUUGACCUCGGAUCAGGUAGGAAUACCCGCUGA